Molecule: RNA transcript, 1068 nt
Organism: Lotus japonicus
Lineage: Eukaryota; Viridiplantae; Streptophyta; Magnoliopsida; Fabales; Fabaceae
Gene name: dihydroflavonol 4-reductase-like
Exons: 4
Source: RefSeq, a predicted model, not a curated record
UUCCCAUACGUUUCCUCCUAAUUUCGUCCUUUUUUCGAAUUGUUUAUCUGAUAUUAUAGAUUAGAUGUGCCUUUUUUGAGAGAUUCCGUACUCUGUUUGCAACCAUUCCCCAUUGUCAUCUUCAGUUCAUCCAAUUUUUAUGCAUCUGUCAUUUACAUUUUGAUUUGAAGUUGGGAUUAGCUUUGUAGAUCUAGGGUUAUAGGUUGAAUUCUUUACACAACCUUUUCCUCUUUGAAUUUUUCUUCAGAUCCAUUUGCCUAUAAAUUGUCACACAACCCUCACUCCACCACCAUUCACACAACCAUUACUCCACCACAUUUCACACAAUCUCACUUCAAUCUUUGAGAUGGCUGGUGGUAUUAAUUCGAUCAGAAGCCUUAUACCUGGACGAGAUCUGUGGAGAGUGAAAGUCAGGGUUCUUGAGAGACAUGAUAUCAUCAAGAAAAGAUUAGACACUCAUGGCAAUGUGAUAGAAACAAGGCAAGAUGGGAUAGGCUCUCCUACGAGGCAUUUGUUCAAACAAAUAUAUUUGACCCUUCAACCAAAGGAACGAUAAACCUACUCAAGUCCUGUUUGAAAUCCAAUUCUGUAAAAAGGGUUGUUUUCACAUAUUCCAUAAGUACAAUUACUGCAAAAGACAGCAAUGGAAAGUGGAUACACAAAUUUUGGUUCCUUAGGGUUUUUUUUUCUUGACUGUAGGUUUAUGCACUUUCAAAGCAUCUCACCGAGGAAGCAACAUUUAAAUUUGCAAAAGAGAACAUUGAUAUAACAAGCAUUGUUGCAGGCCCAUUCUUCACUGCUAAUGUGCCAUCAAGUGUUAAAGUUCUACUGUCACCAUUAACAGGUCUCUCUUAGAAUCUUGAACCGGUAUUGAAUCAGUCUUGAAGAACUCUAGAAGUAGCUUAUAAAGUGGUGGUUUAGUCUUUGACUAUUUAGUCAUUUACCUUUACUAUUUGUCUUAUUGCAUGUUCUCUCCUAAAGUUGGUUUGCUUUGGACUUUGGAACCUUUUUACUGAAGUGAUUCUUGAAGAUCUAUUCAUCUAGCUAAUAUAUUGGUGUAUUCAUUCA